RNAcentral lists this ribosomal RNA (492 nucleotides) under uncultured bacterium. RNAcentral describes it as "partial 16S ribosomal RNA". It matches the Rfam family "Bacterial small subunit ribosomal RNA", at positions 30 to 507 of the family's 1533-position model. The record is from RNAcentral.
AGUGAACGCUGGCGGCAGGCCUAACACAUGCAAGUCGAACGGCAGCACAGGGAUAUCUUGGGCGGACGGGUGGGGAGCGGGGGGGGGCGGGCGAAUAGAUCCGGAUCUACUCUGGGGUGGGGGAGAACGUAGCGGAAACGACGCUAAGAGGGCAGACUAGCUGCGGGUGAAAGGAGGGGAGCUUGGGACGUUAGGCGGUGGGGUGAGCCGAGGCCGGCUUGGCGAGUUGGAGGGGGAAUGGCCCACCAAGGCGCCGAUCCGUAGCUGGUCUGAGAGGAUGAUCCGCCACACUGGCACUGAGACACGGUCCCGACUCCUACGGGAGGCCGCAGUGGGGACUCUUGGGCAAUGGGCGCAAGCCUGAUCCAGCCAUACCGCGUGGGUGCAGAAGGCGUUCGGGUUGUAAAGCCCUUUUGUUGGGAAAGAAAAGCAGCAGGUUAAUCCCCCGCUGUUCUGACGGUACCCAAAGAAUAAGCCCCGGCUAACUUCGUG